CCUACGGGGUGCAGCAGUAGGGAAUAUUGCUCAAUGGGGGAAACCCUGAAGCAGCAACGCCGCGUGGAGGAUGAAGGUUUUCGGAUUGUAAACUCCUUUUGUUAGAGAAGAUAAUGACGGUAUCUAACGAAUAAGCACCGGCUAACUCCGUGCCAGCAGCCGCGGUAAUACGGAGGGUGCAAGCGUUACUCGGAAUCACUAGGCGUAAAGGGCGCGUAGGCGGGAUAGCAAGUCAGAUGUGAAAUCCUAUGGCUUAACCAUAGAACUGCAUUUGAAACUGUUAUUCUAGAGUAUGGGAGAGGUAGGUGGAAUUCUUGGUGUAGGGGUAAAAUCCGUAGAGAUCAAGAGGAAUACUCAUUGCGAAGGCGACCUGCUAGAACAUAACUGACGCUGAUGCGCGAAAGCGUGGGGAGCAAACAGGAUUAGAUACCCGAGUAGUC
RNAcentral lists this ribosomal RNA (440 nucleotides) under uncultured bacterium. Its description in RNAcentral is "partial 16S ribosomal RNA". It matches the Rfam family "Bacterial small subunit ribosomal RNA", at positions 338 to 795 of the family's 1533-position model. The record is from RNAcentral.